AACGAACGCUGGCGGCAUGCCUAACACAUGCAAGUCGAACGAGACCUUCGGGCCUAGUGGCGCACGGGUGGGUAACGCGUGGGAACCUGCCCUUAGGUUUGGAAUAACUCCCCGAAUGGGGUGCUAAUACCGGAUAAAGUCUUCGGACCAAAGAUUUGGCGCCUUUGGAUGGGCCUGAGUUGGAUUACUUAGUUAGUAGGGUAAAAGCCUCCCAAGGGUACGAGCCAUAGACGGUUUGUGAGGCUGAUCCGCCACACUGGGACUGAGGCACGGCCCAGAAUCCUGCAGGAGGCAGCAGUGGGGAAUCUUGGACAAUGGGCGAAAGCCUGAUCCAGCAAUGCCGCGUAAGUGAUGAAGGCCUUAGGGUUGUACAGCUCUUUUACCCGGGAUGAUAAUGACAGUACCGGGAGAAUAAGCUCCGGCUAACUCCGUG
Molecule: ribosomal RNA, 433 nt
Filed under: uncultured bacterium
Lineage: Bacteria
Description: partial 16S ribosomal RNA
Rfam family: Bacterial small subunit ribosomal RNA
Source: RNAcentral